UCCAUAGUCCCACACAGCCCAAAUAUCCCCAAAAUCUGAGACCUAACCCAAUCCACCCGCUCCAUCCCACCAGACUCCCCUCCGCCGCCGCGACCUAUGGCUCCAUCCCCUGUCCCUGCCGCCGGAAGUGAAGGUGUCCUCAUCCACGCGCUCCCGGACCCCCAUCCCUGCUGCCGCCGGUGAAGGUAUCUUCGUCAUCCUCGCGCUCCCCCUCGCUGCUGUCACCGUCGUCCGUGCACACCGCCGUGCGGACCGUGCCCCUCAACCCCCUUCCAUCCCUGCCACCACCGGGGUCGCGGCUGCCAAUAGCUCCGACGCCGACCUCAGUACAUCCGCCGCCCUAACCCCCGCCCUCCACCACGUCCCCGGCCCUUGUUCCGGCCGUCGCCGCUCCUUUUCUCUCCUGCAAAGCCCCUUCUGCAGAUCCAUCAGUCGCAUGCCCGUUUCUGCAGAGCGGCAUCGUCUUGGCCAUAUCUCUCCAAGUGCUGCAGGCCAGAGGAAGUUGUCUUUGCUUGAAAAGGGAUUGAGUGCUACUGAAGUUAGUGUUUACUUAGAUUUGGGUGGAUGGGUUGUUGUCAUUGUGAUGCAACAGAGGAAUCAGCGCUGGCCACGAGGAGAUUAGAGGCUUGAGAUGGAUGCUACGAUGGUGGUGGCAAAGUUAGGAGCUUGAGAUUUACAGGGACGAGGUGUAUGAUAGCACAGAUUAAUGUUCAAGUCUUCAUCAGCAGCACCUUGACAUGAAUCCUAAGAUCCAUCGGCAUUAUUUCUUGAUUAUUUUCUAGGGAAGAAUCCGAAGAUGAAUUGUUUCUUUAUUUUUUAACAAAUUUCAUGGCUUAGCAUCUUAUGUGUUCCAUCUAACUCUACCUGCAAUUUAUAUCUACUCCAAGUACACCACAUUCAGAAUUGAUAUACAGCCUACAGUUAGAUCAGUUCAGAUUUUGCCAUGACAAUAUUACCGGUAUUAUUCAUGAUUCCUACGUUGUGUAUAUCACUGUAGAAUACUACCUCUAUUCCAGAAUAUGGUUGUAUAUAGCAAAAUAGUUGUAUAAGUCUUUUAAAUUUAUGUUCUUCUGUACAUUGUCCUCUACUACCAUUAAUUUUCCCUUUUUUCAAAUUGAAAUUUGAAAAGAGCAUGAGUUUUGAUAGGAUUUUGUAUAUCCUUCAGUUGCUUGCUGUAACAUGUGCCUUCUGGUACAUUGAUGUUGAUAGAAGCAUACCAUUUUCCUAUAAUUUCUUCAUCACAAAGAUGUUCUAUUUGUUUAGUUGGCACCAACAUCCAGCUGAAUGUUUAUAGGAGGGUUAUUAGUAAAGCAAAUAUGUUCAUGAGGAAAUGUACCAGCAAAAAAAUCGAGCCAAAGUGUAAUUCAAAAGCUCUUAACAAAUUUUGCGUGUUCCUUAUGUUUUUAUUGUAAUUCUUAUUACUUUUAGCUGGCAUUGAUAUACGAAAGAAUAUCUUGUCGCUUUUUUGCCCUCUCAUCGACCAUUGUAUUUUUUUAGUCAUAUCAAUCUAUCUAAAAGAAAGAAUGCAACACCUUAUGUUUUUAUAUUUUUGGAAAUGUCUUAGGCGUGUUGUUUCAUAUAACUAUAUGCUAUGCUGCCUAUGCCUUUUCCCGUAACCUUAGUAUGUUCAUUGUUUUAUCUUUCAUAUCCUUCAUCUUAAACUGAAAAGUAUGAACCAUUGCAUUGUGCUAAACUUUAUCAGUGAAUUUCGUGUAACAAGCUGAAAUAGAAUUUUUCUCUGUUGCAAUUGGAAGCAUGUCACAUGAGUAUUGAGCUGCCAUUAUCUACAAAUUCUUUAUUUGUUGAUAUGAACAUUAGUUGCAACAUGAAUAAUCAAUGUUAGUCGACAAUGUUGCUUCAUGUGCAUGAGCAUAUGGUGUAUCUCUGACACCAUUCAUUUUGAACCACUAAAAUAAUAGAAGUGGUUUGAUUCGUAAGUUAUUUUACAGGUUUCUAUACAACACUUAUUUGUUUUGUAUUCGCUGCAACGUAUGAACUUGAUUGCUUUUCAAAAAUGUCGAACCACUAGAACCACUAAAAUAUGUACGCCCUAUUGCAAAACACGGCCCUUGUGCUAGAACAAACAUAACUAACUACAUCCUGUUCAUCCCUAUCCUGGCUAGAAGUAGUAGAGAGAUGAGAGUUGAAUCUUAUAGUAUGAUGCGUACUUUAUGAUUUUAUUGAUGGUGAGCCGAGUUAUCUAUAUUGAACAUAUUUUUCUUUUUUGCGGGAUGGUUGUUACAUGUUUGCGCAUUUUUUCAGAGCAAUUUGCAGUGGAAGAAGCAACCUCAUAUUGAUAAGAAGGCAAUGGUUAUUCUAUGAAGUAGCGGUUAUUGUUGUAGCUCAAGGAUGACAAGAAGGCAACUAAUGUGCCCAGGAGGUGUGCAGGUAAUCAGCCACCUAGUACACAUAGAUGUGGUGACUUUGGAGUGUUAUAGAGCAUUUGGCUGUACCAGCCAACUCAAUUGUAAUCAUGAAGCUUAUGUGUGUUCUGGACCAUUUGGUGCUUAAGUGUUAUGGAUUAGAAAUCUUGUGCUCAUGGAUGUAACUCAAGUGUUUUGGACCAUUUAGCAAAUAGGGGUACUUUUAUGUGACUUGUGUUUCCUGGAGGGUUGUAAGAUAGACAAACUUUGCUAUGUCAAGAUUGACUUGUGUUUAAGCCUGUGAUCAAUAUAUAUGUAUUUUUGGUACCAGAUUAUCAAUGAUUGUGCAAUAUGUGUUCAUCUUGA
Molecule: long non-coding RNA, 2729 nt
Organism: Triticum dicoccoides
Lineage: Eukaryota; Viridiplantae; Streptophyta; Magnoliopsida; Poales; Poaceae
Exons: 4
Source: RefSeq, a predicted model, not a curated record